CUAUGAUCCAUCGGAUGUUGGCAAUUUGAUCUCUCAUUCCUCUGCCUUUUCUAAAACCAGCUUCAACAUCAGGAGUUCACGGUUGAUGUAUUGCUGAAGCCUGGCUUGGAGAAUUUUGAGCAUUACUUUACUAGCAUGUGAGAUGAGUGCAAUUGUGUGGUAGUUUGGGCAUUCUUUGGCAUUGCCUUUCUUUGGGAUUGGAAUGAAAACUGACCUUUUCCAGUCCUGUGGGCACUGCUGAGUUUUCCAAAUUUGCUGGCAUAUUGAGUGCAGCACUUUCACAGAGGAAUAGAAGAAAAUAAUUCAUAAAAUGCUUAUUCAAUAUAUAAAUGCUCAAGUAUGACUACACUAAAGAUCUAGUAAGGUAGCCAGAUUUUUUUUUCUUCUUUUUUGACUGUGCCGUGUGGCAUGCAGCAUCAUACUUCCCCAAUUGGAGACCCAACCUGCUCCCCCUGCAGUGGACAUGUGCAGUACUAACCAUUGGACCACCAAGGAGGUCUCAACCCGAUUGUUGGAACCUGGCUGCCAUGCUGUGAAGAGGCCCGAGCAGUCACGUAGAGGGAAUCGCUUGGAAAAGAGGCACACUGCUUUUGUUGGUAAUGGAAAACUAGUGGCUGUAAGGGCCAAAUAUGACCCCUAGGUUCUGGAGAGAAUAGAAAGAAAAGUCUUCACUUAAAGGGGUUUGUCUUCAGAGAAUUAUUUCCUUUUCGGCUUUAAUGGAGAAGAAUGUCAAAUAUGAUACUGGGACACUGACAUUCCUUAACAACAGACUUAAACAGGAAAGAAAGAGUGAACAACCGGGCAUCAAGUGUGAUGAAUGAGGAAGCUGUUAUUAUAACAAAGGGAAGAAAAGGUCUCUGUUCAUAAUGCCAAGUGUGUGCAGCGCAAAGAUCAGGAUAUUAGGUAAGAUUUAUGUAAAU
This 920-nucleotide long non-coding RNA is filed under the name Capra hircus (goat). RNAcentral describes it as "lncRNA (ENSCHIG00000001880.1)". Lineage: Eukaryota; Metazoa; Chordata; Mammalia; Artiodactyla; Bovidae. The record is from RNAcentral.